RNAcentral lists this ribosomal RNA (492 nucleotides) under uncultured bacterium. RNAcentral describes it as "partial 16S ribosomal RNA". It matches the Rfam family "Bacterial small subunit ribosomal RNA", at positions 29 to 507 of the family's 1533-position model. The record is from RNAcentral.
AGUGAACGCUGGCGGUAGGCCUAACACAUGCAAGUCGAACGGCAGCACAGUAAGAGCUUGCUCUUACGGGUGGCGAGUGGCGGACGGGUGAGGAAUACAUCGGAAUCUACUUUUUCGUGGGGGAUAACGUAGGGAAACUUACGCUAAUACCGCAUACGACCUACGGGUGAAAGCAGGGGAUCUUCGGACCUUGCGCGAUUGAAUGAGCCGAUGUCGGAUUAGCUAGUUGGCGGGGUAAAGGCCCACCAAGGCGACGAUCCGUAGCUGGUCUGAGAGGAUGAUGCGCCACACUGGAACUGAGACACGACCCAGACUCCUACGGGAGGCAGCAGUGGGGAAUAUUGGACGAUGGGCGCAAGCCUGAUCCAGCCAUACCGCGUGGGUGAAGAAGGCCUUCGGGUUGUAAAGCCCUUUUGUUGGGAAAGAAAAGCAGCAGGUUAAGACCCCGCUGUUCUGACGGUACCCAAAGAAUAAGCACCGGCUAACUUCGUG